RNAcentral lists this non-coding RNA (163 nucleotides) under Candidatus Omnitrophota bacterium. Its description in RNAcentral is "6S RNA". It matches the Rfam family "6S / SsrS RNA". From Rfam's summary of the family: E. coli 6S RNA was the first non coding RNA to be sequenced, but its function was unknown until recently. The record is from RNAcentral. Lineage: Bacteria; Pseudomonadati; Candidatus Omnitrophota.
AUAUCCCUGCAGUGCUCGUUGGAACUUUGAUAAUUGUUGAACCAACAUCAAUUUCAAGGGAGCCCGUUAUUCUUUAAGUGCCUUCGCGCACUCAAAGAUAGGGCACCCACCUGAAACCAAAACGGUUCAGACUAUUCAGUCCAACGGCACAGGCGGGGAUUUU